CUACGGAGGAUGCAAGCGUUAUCCGGAUUUAUUGGGUUUAAAGGGUGCGUAGGCGGAUGAUUAAGCGUGAGGUGAAAUGCCACUGCUCAACAGUGGAACUGCCUCGCGAACUGGUUGUCUUGAAUGCUCCUGCCGUGGGAGGAAUGUGUGGUGUAGCGGUGAAAUGCAUAGAGAUCACACAGAACACCGAUUGCGAAGGCAUCUCACGAAGGGGUGAUUGACGCUGAGUCACGAAAGCGUGGGGAUCAAACAGGAUUAGAUACCCUGGUAGUCCACGCAGUAAACGAUGAUAACUAACCGCUGGGUCGUAGUGAUUCAGUGGCCAAGCGAAAGCGAUAAGUUAUCCACCUGGGGAGUACGACCGCAAGGUUGAAACUCAAAGGAAUUGACGGGU
Molecule: ribosomal RNA, 394 nt
Filed under: uncultured bacterium
Lineage: Bacteria
Description: partial 16S ribosomal RNA
Rfam family: Bacterial small subunit ribosomal RNA
Source: RNAcentral